Molecule: long non-coding RNA, 151 nt
Organism: Rhodamnia argentea
Lineage: Eukaryota; Viridiplantae; Streptophyta; Magnoliopsida; Myrtales; Myrtaceae
Exons: 5
Source: RefSeq, a predicted model, not a curated record
UUUCCUUUGGGAGACAUCCUUUCAUUUGGAUGGUGAAUGUCAGUUGAAGUUUAUGCUGGAAAUUGGACCACCUACUUUGAUGACAGCCGAUGUGAUCAAGUUUUUAAGUAGUUUGGCUACAAAUCAAGGUUAUUUAGUACAAAGUUCUCGC